This 792-nucleotide ribosomal RNA is filed under the name uncultured bacterium. RNAcentral describes it as "bacterial SSU rRNA". It matches the Rfam family "Bacterial small subunit ribosomal RNA", at positions 8 to 795 of the family's 1533-position model. The record is from RNAcentral.
AGAGUUUGAUCCUGGCUCAGAACGAACGCUGGCGGCAUGCCUUACACAUGCAAGUCGAACGGCAGCACGGGAGCAAUCCUGGUGGCGAGUGGCGAACGGGUGAGUAAUAUAUCGGAACGUGCCCAGUCGUGGGGGAUAACGCAGCGAAAGCUGUGCUAAUACCGCAUACGAUCUAUGGAUGAAAGCGGGGGAUCGCAAGACCUCGCGCGAUUGGAGCGGCCGAUAUCAGAUUAGGUAGUUGGUGGGGUAAAGGCCCACCAAGCCGACGAUCUGUAGCUGGUCUGAGAGGACGACCAGCCACACUGGAACUGAGACACGGUCCAGACUCCUACGGGAGGCAGCAGUGGGGAAUUUUGGACAAUGGGCGCAAGCCUGAUCCAGCAAUGCCGCGUGCAGGAUGAAGGCCUUCGGGUUGUAAACUGCUUUUGUACGGAACGAAACGGCGAGCUCUAAUAAAGCUUGCUAAUGACGGUACCGUAAGAAUAAGCACCGGCUAACUACGUGCCAGCAGCCGCGGUAAUACGUAGGGUGCGAGCGUUAAUCGGAAUUACUGGGCGUAAAGCGUGCGCAGGCGGUUUUGUAAGACAGAUGUGAAAUCCCCGGGCUUAACCUGGGAACUGCAUUUGUGACUGCAAGGCUAGAGUACGGCAGAGGGGGGUAGAAUUCCACGUGUAGCAGUGAAAUGCGUAGAUAUGUGGAGGAAUACCGAUGGCGAAGGCAGCCCCCUGGGUCGAUACUGACGCUCAUGCACGAAAGCGUGGGGAGCAAACAGGAUUAGAUACCCUGGUAGUC